CCACCCCUGGCCAAAACCUUUACAAAAGGAUACCAUUCAGUUGUCACACAUGUCCUUUUAAUUGCCACUUCUGUGACAUGAGUUUGAUAACGGCUUGUGAAAUUUUCUGCAAUCUAAAGUUUCAUAUUGUCUACACUUGUAGUUUCUUUGGAGACACAAUCUCCAUUUGUCUCCUGACAAAUUGGAAAAUGAUGAAGAUAAUGACUUGAUUCACAUAUUAUAUUGACAUUGCUUUUUAGUCUCCAAUAUUUCAGUGAGUCAUGCUUUGGAAAUGACAAUAAUUUUUUAUUACCCAACACUUGAGUUGUUUUGUUUAUUACCCAACCCUUGAGUUGUUUUGUUUUUCAUUUACCCAACCUUUUACUUACUUAAAAUUUUGUUUACCCAACCCUUUUCUCUUC
Non-coding RNA from Paramuricea clavata, 401 nucleotides. The record is from the annotation of a GenBank genome assembly. Lineage: Eukaryota; Metazoa; Cnidaria; Anthozoa; Malacalcyonacea; Plexauridae.